UGCCAGCCGCCGCGGUAAUACGGAGGGGGCUAGCGUUGUUCGGAAUUACUGGGCGUAAAGCGCGCGUAGGCGGUUUAUCAAGUCAGACGUGAAAUCCCCGGGCUCAACCCGGGAACUGCGUUUGAUACUGGUUGACUAGAGGCCGGGAGAGGGUAGUGGAAUUCCCAGUGUAGAGGUGAAAUUCGUAGAUAUUGGGAAGAACACCGGUGGCGAAGGCGGCUACCUGGACCGGACCUGACGCUGAGGUGCGAAAGCGUGGGGAGCAAACAGGAUUAGAUA
This 279-nucleotide ribosomal RNA is filed under the name uncultured bacterium. RNAcentral's name for it is "partial 16S ribosomal RNA". It matches the Rfam family "Bacterial small subunit ribosomal RNA", at positions 506 to 784 of the family's 1533-position model. The record is from RNAcentral.